RNAcentral lists this ribosomal RNA (494 nucleotides) under uncultured bacterium. RNAcentral describes it as "bacterial SSU rRNA". It matches the Rfam family "Bacterial small subunit ribosomal RNA", at positions 8 to 523 of the family's 1533-position model. The record is from RNAcentral.
AGAGUUUGAUCCUGGCUCAGGAUGAACGCUAGCGGGAGGCUUAACACAUGCAAGUCGAGCGGGAUUAGCAGCAAUGCUAUGAGAGCGGCGGACGGGUGCGUAACGCGUAUGCAACCUGCCUUAUACAGGGGAAUAGCCCAUGGAAACGUGGAUUAAAGUCCCAUAGAAUCAUGAUAUCGCAUGGUAUUAUGAUUAAAACUGAGGUGGUAUAAGAUGGGCAUGCGUCUGAUUAGGUAGUUGGUGAGGUAACGGCUCACCAAGGCGACGAUGCGUAGCCGACCUGAGAGGGUGAUCGGCCACAUUGGAACUGAGACACGGUCCAGACUCCUACGGGAGGCAGCAGUGGGGAAUAUUGCGCAAUGGGGGAAACCCUGACGCAGCAACGCCGCGUGAAUGAUGAAGGCCUUCGGGUUGUAAAGUUCUGUCUUCUGGGACGAUAAUGACGGUACCAGAGGAGGAAGCCACGGCUAACUACGUGCCAGCAGCCGCGGUAA